Molecule: long non-coding RNA, 216 nt
Filed under: Lathyrus oleraceus (garden pea)
Lineage: Eukaryota; Viridiplantae; Streptophyta; Magnoliopsida; Fabales; Fabaceae
Description: Pisum sativum (pea) long non-coding RNA (PSAT_LNC007224)
Source: RNAcentral
UAAAUCUCGAUUCUUCAAAUAAAAUAAUGUCGGCAGGCUUUGGCAAUGAGUAACCGUUACAAUUGAAUUCAAAUGCGUAAAUAAUAAGUUGCAAUAGUCCCCGAUAUGGAGAACUAUUACUUUUACAAAGUAAUAAAACUGCCUAGAAAACUAACCAAAAAGAAUCUGACUAAAAAUAAAACGUCCCCCCUUAAAGGAGAAACAACCCUCCUUUAU